UUAAAGGCCCUUUUUAGGGCCACCACAAAAUCAAAAGAGCUAAGU
Mus musculus (house mouse) is the source of this 45-nucleotide non-coding RNA. The record is from Rfam. Lineage: Eukaryota; Metazoa; Chordata; Mammalia; Rodentia; Muridae.